RNAcentral lists this ribosomal RNA (550 nucleotides) under uncultured bacterium. Its description in RNAcentral is "bacterial SSU rRNA". It matches the Rfam family "Bacterial small subunit ribosomal RNA", at positions 355 to 896 of the family's 1533-position model. The record is from RNAcentral.
UAGGGAAUCUUCGGCAAUGGGGGCAACCCUGACCGAGCAACGCCGCGUGAGUGAAGAAGGUUUUCGGAUCGUAAAGCUCUGUUGUAAGUCAAGAACGAGUGUGAGAGUGGAAAGUUCACACUGUGACGGGCUUCCCGCAAAAAGGGACGGCUAACUACGUGCCAGCAGCCGCGGUAAUACGUAGGUCCCGAGCGUUGUCCGGAUUUAUUGGGCGUAAAGCGAGCGCAGGCGGUUUGAUAAGUCUGAAGUUAAAGGCUGUGGCUCAACCAUAGUUCGCUUUGGAAACUGUCAAACUUGAGUGCAGAAGGGGAGAGUGGAAUUCCAUGUGUAGCGGUGAAAUGCGUAGAUAUAUGGAGGAACACCGGUGGCGAAAGCGGCUCUCUGGUCUGUAACUGACGCUGGGGCUCGAAAGCGUGGGGAGCGAACAGGAUUAGAUACCCUGGUAGUCCACGCCGUAAACGAUGAGUGCUAGGUGUUGGAUCCUUUCCGGGAUUCAGUGCCGCAGCUAACGCAUUAAGCACUCCGCCUGGGGAGUACGACCGCAAGGUUG